Molecule: ribosomal RNA, 492 nt
Filed under: uncultured bacterium
Lineage: Bacteria
Description: partial 16S ribosomal RNA
Rfam family: Bacterial small subunit ribosomal RNA
Source: RNAcentral
AGUGAACGCUGGCGGUAGGCCUAACACAUGCAAGUCGAACGGCAGCACAGUAAGAGCUUGCUCUUACGGGUGGCGAGUGGCGGACGGGUGAGGAAUACAUCGGAAUCUACUUUUUCGUGGGGGAUAACGUAGGGAAACUUACGCUAAUACCGCAUACGACCUACGGGUGAAAGCAGGGGAUCUUCGGACCUUGCGCGAUUGAAUGAGCCGAUGUCGGAUUAGCUAGUUGGCGGGGUAAAGGCCCACCAAGGCGACGAUCCGUAGCUGGUCUGAGAGGAUGAUCAGCCACACUGGGACUGAGACACGGUCCAGACUCCUACGGGAGGAAGCAGUGGGGAAUAUUGGACAAUGGGCGCAAGCCUGAUCCAGCCAUACCGCGUGGGUGAAGAAGGCCUUCGGGUUGUAAAGCCCUUUUGUUGGGAAAGAAAAGCAGCAGGUUAAUACCCCGCUGUUCUGACGGUACCCAAAGAAUAAGCACCGGCUAACUUCGUG